GUGCCUAACGCAUGCAAGUCGAGCGAGGAGAUUCCUUCGGGAUGAUCCUAGCGGCGGACGGGUGAGUAACACGUGGGCAACCUGCCUCAUAGAGAGGAAUAGCCUUCCGAAAGGGAGAUUAAUACCUCAUAACAUUGCAGUUUCGCAUGGAACAGCAAUUAAAGGAGUAAUCCGCUAUGAGAUGGGCCCGCGGCGCAUUAGCUAGUUGGUGAGGUAACGGCUCACCAAGGCGACGAUGCGUAGCCGACCUGAGAGGGUGAUCGGCCACAUUGGGACUGAGACACGGCCCAGACUCCUACGGGAGGCAGCAGUGGGGAAUAUUGCACAAUGGGGGAAACCCUGAUGCAGCAACGCCGCGUGAGUGAUGACGGCCUUCGGGUUGUAAAGCUCUGUCUUCAGGGACGAUAAUGACGGUACCUGAGGAGGAAGCCACGGCUAACUACGUGCCAGCAGCUGC
Molecule: ribosomal RNA, 457 nt
Filed under: uncultured bacterium
Lineage: Bacteria
Description: bacterial SSU rRNA
Rfam family: Bacterial small subunit ribosomal RNA
Source: RNAcentral